Molecule: ribosomal RNA, 253 nt
Filed under: uncultured bacterium
Lineage: Bacteria
Description: partial 16S ribosomal RNA
Rfam family: Bacterial small subunit ribosomal RNA
Source: RNAcentral
UACGGAGGGUGCAAGCGUUAUCCGGAUUUACUGGGUUUAAAGGGUGCGCAGGCGGAUAUGUAAGUCAGUGGUGAAAUCUUCCCGCUUAACGGGAAAACUGCCAUUGAUACUAUAUAUCUUGAAUGCUGUGGAGGUAAGCAGAAUAUGUCAUGUAGCGGUGAAAUGCUUAGAGAUGACAUAGAAUACCUAUUGCGAAGGCAGCUUACUACGCAGAUAUUGACGCUCAUGCACGAAAGCGUGGGGAUCAAACAGG